UGCAGUCGAGCGGACAGAUGGGAGCUUGCUCCCUGAUGUUAGCGGCGGACGGGUGAGUAACACGUGGGUAACCUGCCUGUAAGACUGGGAUAACUCCGGGAAACCGGGGCUAAUACCGGAUGGUUGUUUGAACCGCAUGGUUCAAACAUAAAAGGUGGCUUCGGCUACCACUUACAGAUGGACCCGCGGCGCAUUAGCUAGUUGGUGAGGUAACGGCUCACCAAGGCAACGAUGCGUAGCCGACCUGAGAGGGUGAUCGGCCACACUGGGACUGAGACACGGCCCAGACUCCUACGGGAGGCAGCAGUAGGGAAUCUUCCGCAAUGGACGAAAGUCUGACGGAGCAACGCCGCGUGAGUGAUGAAGGUUUUCGGAUCGUAAAGCUCUGUUGUUAGGGAAGAACAAGUACCGUUCGAAUAGGGCGGUACCUUGACGGUACCUAACCAGAAAGCCACGGCUAACUACGUGCCAGCAGCCGCGGUAAUACGUAGGUGGCAAGCGUUGUCCGGAAUUAUUGGGCGUAAAGGGCUCGCAGGCGGUUUCUUAAGUCUGAUGUGAAAGCCCCCGGCUCAACCGGGGAGGGUCAUUGGAAACUGGGGAACUUGAGUGCAGAAGAGGAGAGUGGAAUUCCACGUGUAGCGGUGAAAUGCGUAGAGAUGUGGAGGAACACCAGUGGCGAAGGCGACUCUCUGGUCUGUAACUGACGCUGAGGAGCGAAAGCGUGGGGAGCGAACAGGAUUAGAUACCCUGGUAGUCCACGCCGUAAACGAUGAGUGCUAAGUGUUAGGGGGUUUCCGCCCCUUAGUGCUGCAGCUAACGCAUUAAGCACUCCGCCUGGGGAGUACGGUCGGCAGACUGAAACUCAA
RNAcentral lists this ribosomal RNA (866 nucleotides) under Bacillus subtilis. Its description in RNAcentral is "bacterial SSU rRNA". It matches the Rfam family "Bacterial small subunit ribosomal RNA", at positions 56 to 904 of the family's 1533-position model. The record is from RNAcentral. Lineage: Bacteria; Bacillati; Bacillota; Bacilli; Caryophanales; Bacillaceae.